Molecule: ribosomal RNA, 1424 nt
Filed under: bacterium 14W222
Lineage: Bacteria
Description: bacterial SSU rRNA
Rfam family: Bacterial small subunit ribosomal RNA
Source: RNAcentral
CUGGCGGCUUACCUGCAAGUCGAGCGGGGAAAGGUAGCUUGCUACCUUACCUAGCGGCGGACGGGUGAGUAAUGCUUAGGAAUCUGCCUAUUAGUGGGGGACAACAUUCCGAAAGGAAUGCUAAUACCGCAUACGCCCUACGGGGGAAAGCAGGGGAUCUUCGGACCUUGCGCUAAUAGAUGAGCCUAAGUCAGAUUAGCUAGUUGGUGGGGUAAAGGCCUACCAAGGCGACGAUCUGUAGCGGGUCUGAGAGGAUGAUCCGCCACACUGGGACUGAGACACGGCCCAGACUCCUACGGGAGGCAGCAGUGGGGAAUAAUGGACAAUGGGCGAAAGCCUGAUCCAGCCAUGCCGCGUGUGUGAAGAAGGCCUUUUGGUUGUAAAGCACUUUAAGCGAGGAGGAGGCUACUUGGAUUAAUACUCUAGGAUAGUGGACGUUACUCGCAGAAUAAGCACCGGCUAACUCUGUGCCAGCAGCCGCGGUAAUACAGAGGGUGCGAGCGUUAAUCGGAUUUACUGGGCGUAAAGCGUGCGUAGGCGGCUUUUUAAGUCGGAUGUGAAAUCCCUGAGCUUAACUUAGGAAUUGCAUUCGAUACUGGGAAGCUAGAGUAUGGGAGAGGAUGGUAGAAUUCCAGGUGUAGCGGUGAAAUGCGUAGAGAUCUGGAGGAAUACCGAUGGCGAAGGCAGCCAUCUGGCCUAAUACUGACGCUGAGGUACGAAAGCAUGGGGAGCAAACAGGAUUAGAUACCCUGGUAGUCCAUGCCGUAAACGAUGUCUACUAGCCGUUGGGGCCUUUGAGCUUUAGUGGCGCAGCUAACGCGAUAAGUAGACCGCUGGGGAGUACGGUCGCAAGACUAAAACUCAAAUGAAUUGACGGGGGCCCGCACAAGCGGUGGAGCAUGUGGUUUAAUUGGAUGCAACGCGAAGAACCUUACCUGGUCUUGACAUAGUAAGAACUUUCCAGAGAUGGAUUGGUGCCUUUGGGAACUUACAUAUAGGUGUUUCAAUGGCUUUUUCCAGCUCGUGUCGUGAGAUGUUGGGUUAAGUCCCGCAACGAGCGCAACCCUUUUCCUUAUUUGCCAGCGGGUUAAGCCGGGAACUUUAAGGAUACUGCCAGUGACAAACUGGAGGAAGGCGGGGACGACGUCAAGUCAUCAUGGCCCUUACGACCAGGGCUACACACGUGCUACAAUGGUCGGUACAAAGGGUUGCUACCUAGCGAUAGGAUGCUAAUCUCAAAAAGCCGAUCGUAGUCCGGAUUGGAGUCUGCAACUCGACUCCAUGAAGUCGGAAUCGCUAGUAAUCGCGGAUCAGAAUGCCGCGGUGAAUACGUUCCCGGGCCUUGUACACACCGCCCGUCACACCAUGGGAAUUUGUUGCACCAGAAGUAGGUAGUCUAACCGCAAGGAGGACGCUUUACUCAA